This 200-nucleotide ribosomal RNA is filed under the name uncultured bacterium. RNAcentral describes it as "partial 16S ribosomal RNA". It matches the Rfam family "Bacterial small subunit ribosomal RNA", at positions 29 to 256 of the family's 1533-position model. The record is from RNAcentral.
AACGAACGCUGGCGGCAUGCCUAACACAUGCAAGUCGAACGAGACCUUCGGGUCUAGUGGCGCACGGGUGCGUAACGCGUGGGAAUCUGCCCUUGGGUUCGGAAUAACAGUGAGAAAUUACUGCUAAUACCGGAUGAUGACGAAAGUCCAAAGAUUUAUCGGGGUAUGAUGAGCCCGCGUUGGAUUAGCUAGUUGGUGGG